This 76-nucleotide transfer RNA is filed under the name compost metagenome. Its description in RNAcentral is "tRNA-Arg". It matches the Rfam family "tRNA". Rfam says of the family: Transfer RNA (tRNA) molecules are approximately 80 nucleotides in length. The record is from RNAcentral.
GCGGCCAUAGCUCAGCUGGAUAGAGCGAAUGACUACGAAUCAUUAGGUCGGGGGUUCGAAUCCCUCUGGCCGCGCC